Pyrus x bretschneideri (Chinese white pear) is the source of this 1282-nucleotide long non-coding RNA. RefSeq lists it as uncharacterized. The transcript is spliced from 3 exons. The record is from RefSeq and is a predicted model, not a curated record. NCBI's taxonomy places the organism in Eukaryota, Viridiplantae, Streptophyta, Magnoliopsida, Rosales, Rosaceae.
CCAUUGGUUAUAGAAACUUUUUUUGUGAAACUUUGUUGCCAAUUAGGGAGCGUAAUCCUUUGGUUAUAAAAGAAAGUUUUAGAAGGCUUUGGAACUUGGAAGAGUUUUUCUAUUUGUUUGCUUUUGGAAUGGAUACGGGGAUUAUUUUUCUUUGCAAUUGAGGUUGUUGAUAUGAUUGAUUUAUAUAAUCUUGUAUAUGUACAAUUACCUUUCAAAUUUCCUAAUUUUCUUAUUAUUAGUCUACCAAUGCAAGCCUUUUUUCUUUUUAAAUUCCAUAUUACUAAAGAUCAAGUUUUAUAAAAUAAUAAAAUAAAAAAACUGAAACCGAAUGAACAAAGCCAAACCUAAAAAAAACUGAACUAAAAAAAAAAAAAAAAAAACCAAAAGAAAAUUCAACUGAACUGACCGAAUGAAACCGAACCCACUCAUAAUGAGAUUUGACGAAGUAAUAUGGGUCAUAUGAGUAAUGUCCAAGCUACGUAGGCGCAAAAAAGUGCGACCGUACCUCUGGAAGUCAGAAAUCUUCAUUGAGAUUGAGGAACCAUCACCAUGGAUCUUUGAAACGACAUCGUUUUGGACUUGGAAUAUAAAAAAUAAUAAUUGGAACGACAUCGUUUUGAUUUUAAAAAAUAUACAUAACACAAAUAACAGGAGACCACUGAUCCCCAUUAUACACACACGAGAGGAACCGAGCACCAGCACCAAAAUCCAGCCUCCAAACAUACUCAAGACAAAAAGGUAAGAAGCUUUUUCUGCCAUUGGCCAUUGGAAGCAGCAGCCAGGUGACCGCCACCAGUCACACGUCAUUGCUCUCCACACUCGACGCGGUCGUUAGCCAUCGGCCCACCACCAUCGGCCACCGUCAAUGUUGAGAACUGUAGGCACAUAACUGGCUACUCUUCAAACAUGGAUUUGACCUUACAUGCAAAUCAGUGCGGCUAUAACCAGGAGCAACACUAUGAAUCUAUGAGACGGCUUCUAAUAAUACUACCAUGAGCGCCUUGGCUUCCCGAGACUGUUUUAUAACCCAAAGAUUGAGAAGAACAAUGAACAGUGUAGAUACUCUUAAGGAGAAGGAGCAGUGGACCGAAAAAACUGCUGCCUCAAAGAAUUUGGAGGGUAAUUUCCUAUUCGCUUGCAAAUAUUGUACUUGACAAGGCAUGUAAUGCUAAUGAUAUGUUUUAGGGUACUUUAACGAAAAACUCCUUGUACUGUUCACUUUAACGAAAAACCGUAUUUUCACACUAAAAGUCAAUCCUGAUACUAUUCAUUUUACCCUUUA